Molecule: long non-coding RNA, 1413 nt
Filed under: Volvox carteri
Lineage: Eukaryota; Viridiplantae; Chlorophyta; Chlorophyceae; Chlamydomonadales; Volvocaceae
Description: long non-coding RNA (VCAR_LNC002785)
Source: RNAcentral
UUGUCACAAAACCUGAAUCUUACAUUCUGCCGUCAGGCUCUAUCCCCUGCCGCCUUCUCCCCGACCGCCUCUAUCCCCUGCCGCCGCCUCCCCUGCCGCAUCCUCCCCUGCGGCCUCUAAGCCCUGCUGGUCCUGGCCUGCCACCUACUCCCCUCCCGUCUCAUCCCCUGCUGCUUCCGUCCCCUGCCACCUUCUCCCCUGCCGCCUCCGCCCCUGCCACAUUCUCCCCUGCCGCCUCUAUCCCCUGCCGCUUCCUACCCCGCCGCCUCUAUCCCCUGCUGCCUCUAUCCCCUGCCGCCUCUAUCCCCUGCCACCUUCUCCCCCUCCGCCUCUAUCCCCUGCCGUGUCAUCCCCUGCUGUCUCUUCCCCUUCCUCCUUCUACCCUGCCGCCUUCUACCCUGCCAUCUCUAUCCCCUGCCAUCUUCCCCCCCUCCGCCUCUAUCCCCUGCCGCCUCCUCCCCUGCCGCCUCUAUCCCCUGCCGCCUCUAUCCCCUGCUGCCUCUAUACGGAUCAUCCCCUGCCGCCUUCUCCCCUGCCGCCUUCUCCCCUGCCGCCUUCUCCCUUGCCGCCUCCGCCUCUGACACCUCCUCCCCUGCCGCCUUCUCCCCUGCUGCGUCUUUGCCCUGCAACCUUCUCCCCCUCUGCCUCUAUCCCCUGCCACCUUCUCCCCUGCCACCUCUAUCCCUUACCGCCUCUGCCCCUGCCGCCUCCAUCCCCUGCCUGCUCCUCCUCUACCGCCUCCUUCCCUGCCGCCUCUAUCCCCUGCCGCCUCUAUCCCUCAGCCCUCAGGCAGAAAGGAGAGCAAGAAGAAAGAGCGAAGCACUGACUCUUACUUUCUUCGAGGACAUGUUUCUGCCUUUCUGCUAUUUGCUCUCACGUUCUUCAGGAAUAUCUUUUACUUGCUCUCACUUUCUUCUCUCACAUAUGUGUCUUUUACUUGCUUGAACAGGCGACUUGUCACAAAAUCUGAAUCUUACUUUAAGCCGAAAACGAGAUUACUCGCGUGGGAUUUGAACCGGCGAAAAUGUCAUCGUUGUGUUAAUUAUGUGUCCGUCAUCCAAAAAAGCCCGAGUUUUCCGUUGGACAUUGGACUUGCGAACCACACAAACGCACGCACGCACGAAUGGGGGUUCUAGCCGUAGCCCUCAGAAAGGAGAGCACAAGUUGGGUGUCGGUUAGGUCUUGAAGCGCCAGCGGCUACAGGAAAGCACCCCACUGCCGCAUGGCUUUGUAAUAAUUAAACACACAAGUCGGGUGUCGGCUUCCUCGAAGCCGGAAAAAGGGUGGGCCCCCCCUGCAUCCGUACAGGCCGGUAGCUAGCGCGGCACGUGUGACAAUUGAUGGGUAGUGUCAACGCGGUGGGAGAUGUGCUUUGUUGCAGCAGUGCUGAUGGUGUGGGAGCUAAGCUUGCAC